AGGCAGUGUGGUUAGCUGGUUG
RNAcentral lists this microRNA (22 nucleotides) under Caenorhabditis briggsae. RNAcentral describes it as "cbr-miR-34". Its record names the gene cbr-miR-34. RNAcentral also lists the same sequence under 3 other names. Lineage: Eukaryota; Metazoa; Nematoda; Chromadorea; Rhabditida; Rhabditidae. The record is from miRBase by way of RNAcentral.